Long non-coding RNA from Rhododendron vialii, 960 nucleotides. RefSeq lists it as uncharacterized. The transcript is spliced from 2 exons. Lineage: Eukaryota; Viridiplantae; Streptophyta; Magnoliopsida; Ericales; Ericaceae. The record is from RefSeq and is a predicted model, not a curated record.
AAAUUAAGUUGUUCCAUUUGAGAGAGUGAAUUAUUAUGAGUGCAUAAGUAUACUACUGAAAAGGAUCCUCUAUUUUCCUGUAAAGUUUAUCAAUGAUUUGAUCCCUUACAUAUAUUCCAGCCUUCACAUCAUAUGGUAAAAUAGAGUGGAAGAUUGAACCUACAGGGCAUGGGAAUGUUGGUAAUUAAAACACGAUGAUGUCUUUUAGCUCUGUCCUCCAAUUGUAUUCCUGCCAUGGAUUUCAGAAAUAAAAGAGAUUCUUCCAAAUGCGUAAACUAGAUAGAAGAUAUAUCUAGAUGACUAGAUGGCGGGUUUUCCUUGACAUGAUGAGAAUGUGAAGAUGACCUUUAGAAAAGUACCAAUUGAUAAUACCACAUAGGGCUAUGAAGUCUUGAGAACACCCUAUCUGGGGAUGAGUAGCACUUAACACUUAGGUCAUAUAAUCCUCCGAUAGGAUCCUCCACUCCCGUUCUCAAUUCUUUCUCUCACAAAUUUUAGUAGUAGGGAAUGUCCACAUUAAUGCUAACUCCAUUAUUGUGUUGUAUUCAUGGAAAUAAUUGUCUUAGAACCUUGCGCAAGCUGCUUUAAGCUGAGUAUAUCUGAAAGCAACUUCUGUUAUAGCACUGCUGCUGUGAGGGUUAGAACUGCUAGAUUGUCAGCACAAGUGGUGCAAAUAAAGUUAUGGAAGAAUGCUUGCUUGGAUAGAACUGAUUACAACGACCAUAGGAAGUCCAACUUGCAUCUUCCCAAGCUUGACUAAGUCAAACUAUCUGCACUAUAACAGACAGCAGGUUGAGUUGCAAUACAUCCUGAUUUCAAGAUUUGGAUACAGCAUGGAUGCAAGUUGUUAGGAGGAUACAGUAGGAAAGUUUCUUGGGAGCGUUCUUGCGAGCUUACUAGAAGCUUAGAGAAGGCAUAUACUGUACUGCUGAAAUAAACUCCGAACAAGGCAGCAUUGAG